CGACAGUAGUAGGAAUUGAACCUACACGGGCGAACCCGCUAGUUUAGUAGACUAGUGCAAUACCAUUAUGCGAUACUGUC
This 80-nucleotide transfer RNA is filed under the name Edafosvirus sp. Its description in RNAcentral is "tRNA-Ser". The record is from RNAcentral. Lineage: Varidnaviria; Bamfordvirae; Nucleocytoviricota; Megaviricetes; Imitervirales; Mimiviridae.